Molecule: ribosomal RNA, 439 nt
Filed under: uncultured bacterium
Lineage: Bacteria
Description: partial 16S ribosomal RNA
Rfam family: Bacterial small subunit ribosomal RNA
Source: RNAcentral
CUACGGGUGGCUCCAGUGAGGAAUAUUGCACAAUGGGGGAAACCCUGAUGCAGCAACGCCGCGUGGAGGAUGACGCAUUUCGGUGUGUAAACUCCUUUUAUAUGUCAAGAAAAUGACGGUAGCAUAUGAAUAAGCACCGGCUAACUCCGUGCCAGCAGCCGCGGUAAUACGGAGGGUGCAAGCGUUACUCGGAGUCACUGGGCGUAAAGGACGCGUAGGCGGGUUGGAAAGUCAGGUGUGAAAUCCUACAGCUUAACUGUAGAACUGCACUUGAAACUUCUAAUCUAGAGUAUGGGAGGGGGAGAUGGAAUUAGUGGUGUAGGGGUAAAAUCCGUAGAUAUCACUAGGAAUACCUAAAGCGAAGGCGAUCUCCUGGAACAUUACUGACGCUAAGGCGUGAAAGCGGGGGGAGCAAACAGGAUUAGAUACCCGAGUAGUC